RNAcentral lists this long non-coding RNA (455 nucleotides) under Mytilus galloprovincialis (Mediterranean mussel). Lineage: Eukaryota; Metazoa; Mollusca; Bivalvia; Mytilida; Mytilidae. The record is from RNAcentral.
AAACGACUGAAAACUUGGAAAAGAGCAUACAUGAGUGACGAGAGAUUGUGCGGUCUUGCCAUGCUCCAUGUUCAUCGCGAUAAGGAUAUCAGCAGACCAAAUCACGAUUCUGAAACGAUUUGACUGAACCGGCCAUAGAAAAAUGUGGCAAACUCUACUGAAUCGAUGUUUGUUUUAUGUUCUGGCAGCAGACUCAAAUCAGUGAUAUUUGGAUGAUUAUCUUACAUAUAAAUUUAAAUAAAGUUGUUAAAAAUUUGGUGUUAGUAAAAGUCUUAAAAUAUGAAAAAUUUAUAUAAAAAGUGUACAAAUUCAAAACAUUAUCAAACUCUCUAAAAAUGCCUAGAAUGCAGGAUUUUGCACCAUUCAUUUCAUACCCUCCAAAAAAAAUGUUCGCCUCGCUUUGCACGGCUCAAUUAUUUUGCCUCACUAAAAUAAGAUGCCUAGUUACGGCCUUG